RNAcentral lists this ribosomal RNA (497 nucleotides) under uncultured bacterium. Its description in RNAcentral is "partial 16S ribosomal RNA". It matches the Rfam family "Bacterial small subunit ribosomal RNA", at positions 28 to 507 of the family's 1533-position model. The record is from RNAcentral.
GACGAACGCUGGCGGCGUGCCUAAUACAUGCAAGUUGAGCGCUGAAGGUUGGUACUUGUACCAACUGGAUGAGCAGCGAACGGGUGAGUAACGCGUGGGGAAUCUGCCUUUGAGCGGGGGACAACAUUUGGAAACGAAUGCUAAUACCGCAUAAAAACUUUAAACACAAGUUUUAAGUUUGAAAGAUGCAAUUGCAUCACUCAAAGAUGAUCCCGCGUUGUAUUAGCUAGUUGGUGAGGUAAAGGCUCACCAAGGCGAUGAUACAUAGCCGACCUGAGAGGGGGAUCGGCCACAUUGGGACUGAGACACGGCCCAAACUCCUACGGGAGGCAGCAGUAGGGAAUCUUCGGCAAUGGACGAAAGUCUGACCGAGCAACGCCGCGGGAGGGAAGAAGGGUUUCGGAUCGUAAAACUCUGUUGGUAGGGAAGAACGUUGGUGGGAGUGGAAAGCUCAUCAAGUGACGGUAACUACCCAGAAAGGGACGGCUAACUACGUG